This 252-nucleotide ribosomal RNA is filed under the name uncultured bacterium. Its description in RNAcentral is "partial 16S ribosomal RNA". It matches the Rfam family "Bacterial small subunit ribosomal RNA", at positions 524 to 776 of the family's 1533-position model. The record is from RNAcentral.
GACGGAGAUGCAAGUGUUAUCCGGAAUCACUGGGCGUAAAGCGUCUGUAGGUGGUUUAAUAAGUCAACUGUUAAAUCUUGAGGCUCAACCUCAAAAUCGCAGUCGAAACUAUUAGGCUAGAGUAUAGUAGGGGUAAAGGGAAUUUCCAGUGGAGCGGUGAAAUGCGUAGAGAUUGGAAAGAACACCGAUGGCGAAGGCACUUUACUGGGCUAUUACUAACACUCAGAGUCGAAAGCUAGGGUAGCAAAUGGG